RNAcentral lists this transfer RNA (61 nucleotides) under Heterocephalus glaber (naked mole-rat). It matches the Rfam family "tRNA", at positions 6 to 65 of the family's 71-position model. Rfam says of the family: Transfer RNA (tRNA) molecules are approximately 80 nucleotides in length. Their secondary structure includes four short double-helical elements and three loops (D, anti-codon, and T loops). Further hydrogen bonds mediate the characteristic L-shaped molecular structure. tRNAs have two regions of fundamental functional importance: the anti-codon, which is responsible for specific mRNA codon recognition, and the 3' end, to which the tRNAs corresponding amino acid is attached (by aminoacyl-tRNA synthetases). tRNAs cope with the degeneracy of the genetic code in two manners: having more than one tRNA (with a specific anti-codon) for a particular amino acid; and 'wobble' base-pairing, i.e. permitting non-standard base-pairing at the 3rd anti-codon position. Lineage: Eukaryota; Metazoa; Chordata; Mammalia; Rodentia; Bathyergidae. The record is from Rfam by way of RNAcentral.
UGUAGCUCAGUGGUAGAGCACUUGCCUAGUAGGUGUGAGGCCCUGGGUUCAAACCCUAGUA